UACGUAGGUGGCAAGCGUUGUCCGGAUUUACUGGGCGUAAAGAGCGCGCAGGCGGUCGAGUAAGUCGCAUGUGAAAGCCCCCGGCUUAACUGGGGAGGGUCAUUCGAUACUGUUCGACUUGAAGGCAGGAGAGGGCAGCAGAAUUCCCGGUGUAGUGGUGAAAUGCGUAGAUAUCGGGAGGAAUACCAGUGGCGAAGGCGGCUGCCUGGCCUGUUCUUGACGCUGAGGCGCGAAAGCUGGGGGAGCAAACGGG
RNAcentral lists this ribosomal RNA (253 nucleotides) under uncultured bacterium. Its description in RNAcentral is "partial 16S ribosomal RNA". It matches the Rfam family "Bacterial small subunit ribosomal RNA", at positions 524 to 776 of the family's 1533-position model. The record is from RNAcentral.